RNAcentral lists this ribosomal RNA (397 nucleotides) under uncultured bacterium. Its description in RNAcentral is "partial 16S ribosomal RNA". It matches the Rfam family "Bacterial small subunit ribosomal RNA", at positions 523 to 918 of the family's 1533-position model. The record is from RNAcentral.
GUACGUAGGGGGCGAGCGUUGUCCGGAAUGAUUGGGCGUAAAGGGCGCGUAGGCGGCCCGGUAAGUCUGGAGUGAAAGUCCUGCUUUUAAGGUGGGAAUUGCUUUGGAUACUGUCGGGCUUGAGUGCAGGAGAGGUAAGUGGAAUUCCCAGUGUAGCGGUGAAAUGCGUAGAGAUUGGGAGGAACACCAGUGGCGAAGGCGACUUACUGGACUGUAACUGACGCUGAGGCGCGAAAGUGUGGGGAGCAAACAGGAUUAGAUACCCUGGUAGUCCACACUGUAAACGAUGAAUGCUAGGUGUAGGGGGUAUCGACCCCUUCUGUGCCGCAGUUAACACAAUAAGCAUUCCGCCUGGGGAGUACGGCCGCAAGGUUGAAACUCAAAUGAAUUGACGGGG